This 396-nucleotide ribosomal RNA is filed under the name uncultured bacterium. RNAcentral describes it as "partial 16S ribosomal RNA". It matches the Rfam family "Bacterial small subunit ribosomal RNA", at positions 523 to 918 of the family's 1533-position model. The record is from RNAcentral.
AUACGUAGGGAGCGAGCGUUGUCCGGAAUUACUGGGAGUAAAGGGAGCGUAGGCGGGAGUGCAAGUCAGAUGUGAAAUACAUGGGCUCAACCCAUGGGCUGCAUUUGAAAUUGCUGAUCUUGAGUAUCGGAGAGGCAAUCGGAAUUCCUAGUGUAGCGGUGGAAUGCGUAGAUAUUAGGAGGAACACCAGUGGCGAAGGCGGAUUGCUGGACGACAACUGACGGUGAGUCGCGAAAGCGUGGGGAGCAAACACGAUUAGAUACCCUGGUAGCCCACGCUGUAAACGAUGAAUACUAGGUGUUCGGUGACAGACCCCCUGCGUGACGCAGCUAACGCCAUAAGUCUUCCUCCUGGGGAGUACGAUCGCAAGGUUCAAACUCAAAUGAAUUGACGGUG